GCAGCCGCCGCGGUAAUACGGAGGGUGCAAGCGUUAAUCGGAAUUACUGGGCGUAAAGCGCACGCAGGCGGUCUGACAAGUCAGAUGUGAAAUCCCCGGGCUUAACCUGGGAACUGCAUUUGAAACUGUCAGGCUGGAGUCUUGUAGAGGGGGGUGGAAUUCCAGGUGUAGCGGUGAAAUGCGUAGAGAUCUGGAGGAAUACCGGUGGCGAAGGCGGCCCCCUGGACAAAGACUGACGCUCAGGUGCGAAAGCGUGGGGAGCAAACAGGAUUAGAUACCCCGGUAGUCCCUGUCUCUUAUAA
This 302-nucleotide ribosomal RNA is filed under the name uncultured bacterium. RNAcentral's name for it is "partial 16S ribosomal RNA". It matches the Rfam family "Bacterial small subunit ribosomal RNA", at positions 508 to 809 of the family's 1533-position model. The record is from RNAcentral.